RNAcentral lists this non-coding RNA (425 nucleotides) under Antrostomus carolinensis (chuck-will's-widow). RNAcentral's name for it is "Caprimulgus carolinensis (chuck-will's-widow) Eukaryotic large subunit ribosomal RNA". It matches the Rfam family "Eukaryotic large subunit ribosomal RNA", at positions 2527 to 2802 of the family's 3401-position model. Lineage: Eukaryota; Metazoa; Chordata; Aves; Caprimulgiformes; Caprimulgidae. The record is from Rfam by way of RNAcentral.
AGUUUAUUUUGGAAUUGUCAUGGUACAGCUUUUAGAUGGAAGCAGAACAGACCAACUUCUAGAACUGACAUCUGAAAUAAAAGUGACAAAUGUGACAUGCCUGCAGCAUCUGGUCUGGGGACAGUGUCAGGUGGGGAGUCUGGCUGGGGCGGUACAGCCAACAAACCACAAGGCAGGUCUCCCAUGGCGAGCUCAGGCAGGACGGAAAUCUCUCAUGGAGGAAAAGGGCAAAAGUUUGCUUGAUCUUGACUUUCAGUACAAAUAUAGACUGUGAAAGCAGGGCCUCAUGAUCCUUCAGACUUUUUGGGUUUUGCCCAAAACCCCAAACACCCCUAACUCAUUUUAUGUUUAUGCGUGUAGAUUGUAAUUGUUACUUUUCAGAAAGAAGUUUAGAACCAUUAGAGCUUAAAAUGGCAAAUGUGAAG